ACGGGGGGGGCAAGCGUUGUUCGGAAUUACUGGGCGUAAAGGGUUCGUAGGUGGUCUGCUAAGUCAGACGUGAAAUCCCUCAGCUUAACUGGGGAACUGCGUCUGAUACUGGCGGACUUGAGGACAGGAGAGGAACGCGGAAUUCCAGGUGUAGCGGUGAAAUGCGUAGAUAUCUGGAGGAACACCGGUGGCGAAGGCGGCGUUCUGGACUGUUUCUGACACUGAUGAACGAAAGCCAGGGGAGCAAACGGGA
RNAcentral lists this ribosomal RNA (253 nucleotides) under uncultured prokaryote. Its description in RNAcentral is "partial 16S ribosomal RNA". It matches the Rfam family "Bacterial small subunit ribosomal RNA", at positions 525 to 777 of the family's 1533-position model. The record is from RNAcentral.